GCUUGGGCGGCAGCUACACAUGCAGUCGAGCGGCAGCACGGGGAGCUUGCUCCCUGGUGGCGAGCGGCGGACGGGUGAGUAAUGCAUAGGAAUCUGCCCGGUAGUGGGGGAUAACGUGGGGAAACCCACGCUAAUACCGCAUACGUCCUACGGGAGAAAGCAGGGGAUCUUCGGACCUUGCGCUAUCGGAUGAGCCUAUGUCGGAUUAGCUAGUUGGUAAGGUAACGGCUUACCAAGGCAACGAUCCGUAGCUGGUCUGAGAGGAUGAUCAGCCACACUGGGACUGAGACACGGCCCAGACUCCUACGGGAGGCAGCAGUGGGGAAUAUUGGACAAUGGGCGAAAGCCUGAUCCAGCCAUGCCGCGUGUGUGAAGAAGGCUUUCGGGUUGUAAAGCACUUUCAGCGAGGAAGAAAGCCUCUGGGCCAAUACCCCAGAGGAAGGACAUCACUCGCAGAAGAAGCACCGGCUAACUCCGUGCCAGCAGCCGCGGUAAUACGGAGGGUGCGAGCGUUAAUCGGAAUUACUGGGCGUAAAGCGCGCGUAGGUGGCUUGGCACGCCGGUUGUGAAAGCCCCGGGCUCAACCUGGGAACUGCAUCCGGAACGGCCAGGCUAGAGUGCAGGAGAGGAAGGUAGAAUUCCCGGUGUAGCGGUGAAAUGCGUAGAGAUCGGGAGGAAUACCAGUGGCGAAGGCGGCCUUCUGGCCUGACACUGACACUGAGGUGCGAAAGCGUGGGUAGCAAACAGGAUUAGAUACCCUGGUAGUCCACGCCGUAAACGAUGUCGACUAGCCGUUGGGACCUUUAAGGACUUAGUGGCGCAGUUAACGCGAUAAGUCGACCGCCUGGGGAGUACGGCCGCAAGGUUAAAACUCAAAUGAAUUGACGGGGGCCCGCACAAGCGGUGGAGCAUGUGGUUUAAUUCGAUGCAACGCGAAGAACCUUACCUACCCUUGACAUCCAGAGAAG
RNAcentral lists this ribosomal RNA (968 nucleotides) under Salinicola salarius. RNAcentral describes it as "bacterial SSU rRNA". It matches the Rfam family "Bacterial small subunit ribosomal RNA", at positions 35 to 996 of the family's 1533-position model. Lineage: Bacteria; Pseudomonadati; Pseudomonadota; Gammaproteobacteria; Oceanospirillales; Halomonadaceae. The record is from RNAcentral.